Danio aesculapii is the source of this 2405-nucleotide long non-coding RNA. RefSeq lists it as uncharacterized. The transcript has 8 exons. The record is from RefSeq and is a predicted model, not a curated record. NCBI's taxonomy places the organism in Eukaryota, Metazoa, Chordata, Actinopteri, Cypriniformes, Danionidae.
AUCUGCAGUUUGCCAGUUCGGUGGUUUGCUCUGUGCUGUUAACAACAACAAAAACAAACAAACAAACAAACAAACAAACAAACAAACAAACAAACAAACGCUCAAGAACACACGACGGGAUUCACGCCAUUUACCGCCAAAAUCGCUUUUUGGGCAGUAUUCGGACACAUCAUCCACAAAAUCACACCAGGAGUUUGAGGCCCAUCUGUAAAGCAGCUUGCAAAAGCCUUGGAUCCAGGGGGGAGGCAGCGGAAUGUUAUUAUGAGCCUCCUGAACUUUUUCAUCAAACCAAACGCGACACCAGGAAGAGCCUGCAUGAGAAUGCCUUUCCUGAAAUUCCACAAAUAUGGAGCAAUCGGAGAUUAACAGCAGUGAACAAAUGCAACAUGUGCUGUUUGUUCCAUCUACCACUGACCAUUCUGCACUACAAACUUAUACAACCCUUACAAACUAAUAAACCUUCAAAGAAAAUUUAACUGGAAACUCGUCUUCAGCUUCACUUUUCGAGGGCAGUCAUCAUGGUGAUUUGAGGUGACGCAGUAGGUAGUGCUGUCGCCUCAGCAAGAAGGACGUGGUUCAAGUCUCGGCUGGGUCAGUUGGCGUUCCUGUGUGGAGUUUGCAUGUUCUCCCUGCGUUCUCAUGGGUUUCCUCCAGGUACUCCGGUUUCCCCCACAGUCCAAAGACAUGCGGUACAGGUGAACUGGCAGGUGUGUGUUUCAGUGGGUGAUGUCCACCAUGGUUUACCCUCGUGAUGAGGCUCUAGAGUGGAUGAUAUCGUGCUGACUACAACACUGAAGAGGUGAUGCAGUGUUUGGAGACGCUGCGAGGGGAACAUGCUCAACUUCUCAACACCAUUCUGGACUGCAGUCAACCAGGGUGAUCAUCACUUUGUUGGGAGAACCAGUUACUGCGCUAAAAGCUGGACAACACCCAACACAAACUGCAGAAGAGCAAACAGAGCAUCGCUCAGCUGGAAAAGGAGAGGAAGCACCUGGAGUUCAUGAACCAGAUUGCGCUGAUUUAUCGGGCGGAACAUCAGUUUCUAAACCAUCUGGAUAAAACCUUCAUCCACUCCCAGUGUGUCAGUCUUGGGCUGACAUUGUGGAUUCAGAUCAGUGUGUUCAGCUAGAGCCGUCAAUCUAUAGAGACGGAGGCUCAGAGUUCAAGAUCAGCACUCGGAGGGGUCAAUUCCAGUGCAGCAGGACCAGACUGCGAUGAGUCAAAUGGAGAUAUCUCUCUCCACUACCGGGCAGUGGAUGCAAAUUUCCUCAACGCAGAGCUGGAGAGGCCAUCAAACUCCUCAGGAAGACAGAUACAGACCUGUAGAGCUCAGCCGUUAUCAUGCCUCUACCUGCGCUGUCACGUCAAAUGACAUUCAAGCUCACAUUAUUAGCAUUUCACAGUGAAUAAAGCACAUGAGCUGUACCUGAGGUGAUCAUUGUCACAGUUAACCCUGCUGUUCAGCUGCGAGAAUUAGAAGCUGUUUCUAAAAUAGAAAUGUCAGGUUGGUCAGGACAAAAACUUGCGCCUGUUGAUGUGAGUCAUCAGAAGAGGGGCCGAGUGUAAGUGUUUUGAACUAGGAGUGCAAUACCUAGUUAAACCACUGGGUGUUAAACUUACUAUGUAAAGGUGCGAGUCAUAUAAUUAGAAUAUCUUCAUGAAGUGAUUUCCCUAAUUCCAUUCAAGAAGUAAGACUUGUAUAUCUGUGGCACUGCUCAGGUGUUAUGAGAGCCCAUAUGGCAUAUUGCUCCUCGCACAGUUUGAAACAUUUAGCAGUGUUUAAUUGAUAAAAAUGAGAAAUGUCUUAUUUAUAAUGCCUCUCUUUUGUUUUAGAACAUCAGUGAGUUUCCGUCAGAGCCUUUUGAAGACGUUUGGUGCAGGUUACAUUUCAAAUAAUCUGGCAAAGCCGUAUCACUGUCACACAUACUGUAAGUAAACAUAUAGUAAACAUAGUCAUCUUGCAACAUAGAUUUUCUGCAACUUAACCGGUUGAGCUCAAGUGCAUCAAUUAAGAAGCAUCUUAAAGUGGGUGGGACAUCAGAUGCUAGAGAAAGUAUAUGAUUGGUCAAGAUUUAAUGAGAAACCAGUAUGAGUUGCCAGAUUUCGGUGGAAGUGACAAACUUCUAGCUUUACAUGUUUCUAUCAGUUUUAUAUCUGAUAAACACGAAUAUUGUCACUCUUUUGAAGCACACUAGCUCAGGGGUUCCCAAACUUUUUAGCCGACGACCCCUAAAAUAACAACGUCAAUGACUCAUGAUUAGGGCCAGACAGAAUCUGCAGACAUUUUUUGCUAUUUCUGCACAAAAUUUAGUUAAAAAUCUGCAGAUUUAUGCGGAAUGAUUAUGGGAGUGUCAUAACUAAAACCUUAAUAUAUAAAAUAAGAAGUAAUACCUUUUUAACUUGUA